RNAcentral lists this non-coding RNA (18 nucleotides) under Arabidopsis thaliana (thale cress). Lineage: Eukaryota; Viridiplantae; Streptophyta; Magnoliopsida; Brassicales; Brassicaceae. The record is from RNAcentral.
GUUUUGGAGUCGAAUAUG